Gasterosteus aculeatus aculeatus (three-spined stickleback) is the source of this 366-nucleotide long non-coding RNA. NCBI's taxonomy places the organism in Eukaryota, Metazoa, Chordata, Actinopteri, Perciformes, Gasterosteidae. The record is from Ensembl.
CGACCGCCACGACAUCCCGUGCGACGUUAUCUGGAUGGAUAUCGAGCACACGGAGGGGAAGCGUUACUUCACCUGGGACGCCGCGCUUUUCCCCCCAACCGGCCAACCUGCAGCGCCACCUGGAGGAGAGGAAGAGGAAGUUGGUCGUGAUAACCGAUCCUCACAUCAAGAUCGACCCCGGUUGGUGUUUGUCUAAUGAGGCCAGAGAUGGGGGGCACUUCAUCAAGAACAGAGACGGGCAGAUCUAUGAGGGGUCUCGUUGGCCUGUAAGGGCGAUCAGGAGGAGAGAGCCGCAGAGCGAGCGAGACGCCGGGAGCUCUCAGUCUGCAAAGGGGACGAAGCUGUUUGGGGAGAAAGUCACCGCCG